AUGGAAUUUCUUCCUUGCUGCCUUGUUCGGAUUGUCAGACCUCCCACUCUCUGGAUGUCAUAAACUGCAAGUUGAGAUCAUUCUGGACCUCUCAGCCUUCGAGACCCAUGCCAUUGCAGUGAGGUGAGAACAGCUUGGGAUGAGCCUUCUGAAAACCAUGCUGGAACAGCAUCCCUCAAGCCUGCUGGUCACUGGUGAUGAUCCUGAGCAAGCUGGGUGUUGCAGCACCAGAGCCCUGUGUCCUCAUGACUGUAAACCUGGGGAUCUGCAAGUUGCUGUGCAUACUUACACUGCCAAGGGAAAGUUUGAUGUGAGAGAGGACUCAGAGCACCUCAAGACACGUCUUUUAUCUGUCUAAACCCGUGCACUGAGGUCAGAUUUGUAACACUGUACCUUCAACUCCUUUAGGUUGUGUCAUUCCAGUGGAGCUCAAUGGAACUACUGUGGCAUAAACUGAUGGAA
Non-coding RNA from Cyanistes caeruleus (blue tit), 462 nucleotides. The record is from RefSeq and is a predicted model, not a curated record. Lineage: Eukaryota; Metazoa; Chordata; Aves; Passeriformes; Paridae.